This 206-nucleotide long non-coding RNA is filed under the name Elaeis guineensis (African oil palm). RNAcentral's name for it is "long non-coding RNA (EGUI_LNC071138)". The record is from RNAcentral. Lineage: Eukaryota; Viridiplantae; Streptophyta; Magnoliopsida; Arecales; Arecaceae.
UUUUCAUAAAAUAUGUUACAAUGGUCCUUAUGAAAGCUAAUCACAUAGCCUUCUUGUGCUAAACAUGAAACAGAAAUCAAAUUCCUACUUGCUGUAGGCACAUAAUAAUAGUCUCUAAGAACUAAAUCUAAUCCUAACGGUAAUUGCAGAGGAUAGGUUCUCACGGUCACAACAGCAACUCUUGCUCUGUUCUCGACACAUAGGAU